This 771-nucleotide ribosomal RNA is filed under the name Lacunaria crenata. Its description in RNAcentral is "eukaryotic LSU rRNA". The stretch from base 336 to 491 matches the Rfam family "5.8S ribosomal RNA". Lineage: Eukaryota; Viridiplantae; Streptophyta; Magnoliopsida; Malpighiales; Ochnaceae. The record is from RNAcentral.
GUCCGGUGAAGUGUUCGGAUUGCGGCGACGUGGGCGGUUCGUUGCCGUCGACGUCGCGAGAAGUCCACUGAACCUUAUCAUUUAGAAGAAGGAGAAGUUGUAACAAGGUUUCCGUAGGUAAACCUGCGGAAGGAUCAUUGUCAAAACCUGUCGAGGCAGAGAGACCCGCGGACCUAUUGUGUAACAGAUGGCCCGAUGAAGGCACGCGCGUUUACACUGGGCACAACAACGAACCCCGACACAGGACGCGUCAAGGAAAACUAUAAAGAUAGCAUGCUCCUGCCUGCCCAAAAACUACGCGCGCGGGGGAAGCGUUUUCUUACAUGAAUCAAAAUGACUAUCGACAACGGAUAUCUCAGUUCUCAUAUCGAUGAAGAAGGUAGUGAAAUGCGAUACAUGGUGUGAAUUGCAGAAUCCCAUGAACCAUCGAGUCUUAGAGCGUAAGUUGCACCCGAAGCUUUCUGGCAGAGGGCACGUCUGCCUGGGUGUCACGCACCAUCGCCCUCCCACCCCCUCGUCGUGGGGCGCAGGCCAGGGAGGAUAAUCGUCUCCCGUGUGCUUCCCGUCUGCAGUUGGCCUAAAUUUGAGCCACUGGCAACGAGCGCGCGUCGAGAUUUUGGGAACCUCGCAACCCUGUGGGUCCUAUGUCAUAUGCUCGCAACGUAGCCCUAGAUCAGGCGGGAUUACCCGCUGAGUUUAAGCAUAUCAAUAAGUGGAGGAAAAGAAACUUUCGAGGAUUCCCCUAGUAACGGCGAGCGAACCGGGGAAUUC